UAUGAACGCUAGCUACAGGCUUAACACAUGCAAGUCGAGGGGCAUCAGGAAGAAAGCUUGCUUUCUUUGCUGGCGACCGGCGCACGGGUGAGUAACACGUAUCCAACCUGCCCUUUACUCGGGGAUAGCCUUUCGAAAGAAAGAUUAAUACCCGAUGGCAUAAUGAUUCCGCAUGGUUUCAUUAUUAAAGGAUUCCGGUAAAGGAUGGGGAUGCGUUCCAUUAGGUUGUUGGUGAGGUAACGGCUCACCAAGCCUUCGAUGGAUAGGGGUUCUGAGAGGAAGGUCCCCCACAUUGGAACUGAGACACGGUCCAAACUCCUACGGGAGGCAGCAGUGAGGAAUAUUGGUCAAUGGGCGCUAGCCUGAACCAGCCAAGUAGCGUGAAGGAUGAAGGCUCUAUGGGUCGUAAACUUCUUUUAUAUAAGAAUAAAGUGCAGUAUGUAUACUGUUUUGUAUGUAUUAUAUGAAUAAGGAUCGGCUAACUCCGUGCCAGCAGCCGCGGUAAUACGGAGGAUCCGAGCGUUAUCCGGAUUUAUUGGGUUUAAAGGGAGCGUAGGUGGACUGGUAAGUCAGUUGUGAAAGUUUGCGGCUCAACCGUAAAAUUGCAGUUGAUACUGUCAGUCUUGAGUACAGUAGAGGUGGGCGGAAUUCGUGGUGUAGCGGUGAAAUGCUUAGAUAUCACGAAGAACUCCGAUUGCGAAGGCAGCUCACUGGACUGCAACUGACACUGAUGCUCGAAAGUGUGGGUAUCAAACAGGAUUAGAUACCCUGGUAGUCCACACAGUAAACGAUGAAUACUCGCUGUUUGCGAUAUACAGUAAGCGGCCAAGCGAAAGCAUUAAGUAUUCCACCUGGGGAGUACGCCGGCAACGGUGAAACUCAAAGGAAUUGACGGGGGCCCGCACAAGCGGAGGAACAUGUGGUUUAAUUCGAUGAUACGCGAGGAACCUUACCCGGGCUUAAAUUGCAGUGGAAUGAUGUGGAAACAUAUCAGUGAGCAAUCACCGCUGUGAAGGUGCUGCAUGGUUGUCGUCAGCUCGUGCCGUGAGGUGUCGGCUUAAGUGCCAUAACGAGCGCAACCCUUAUCUUUAGUUACUAACAGGUUAUGCUGAGGACUCUAGAGAGACUGCCGUCGUAAGAUGUGAGGAAGGUGGGGAUGACGUCAAAUCAGCACGGCCCUUACGUCCGGGGCUACACACGUGUUACAAUGGGGGGUACAGAAGGCAGCUAGCGGGUGACCGUAUGCUAAUCCCAAAAGCCUCUCUCAGUUCGGAUCGAAGUCUGCAACCCGACUUCGUGAAGCUGGAUUCGCUAGUAAUCGCGCAUCAGCCACGGCGCGGUGAAUACGUUCCCGGGCCUUGUACACACCGCCCGUCAAGCCAUGGGAGCCGGGGGUACCUGAAGUACGUAACCGCAAGGAUCGUCCUAGGGUAAAACUGGU
RNAcentral lists this ribosomal RNA (1441 nucleotides) under uncultured organism. RNAcentral's name for it is "SSU rRNA". It matches the Rfam family "Bacterial small subunit ribosomal RNA". The record is from RNAcentral.